This is a long non-coding RNA of Syngnathoides biaculeatus (alligator pipefish), 150 nucleotides long. RefSeq lists it as uncharacterized. Lineage: Eukaryota; Metazoa; Chordata; Actinopteri; Syngnathiformes; Syngnathidae. The record is from RefSeq and is a predicted model, not a curated record. The transcript has 3 exons.
CAGAGUUGAGUUUCAAGUAGGAUAUCAUACAUGUGCCUGGUACCAAUUCAUCCACGGACCGGUACCAGUCCGUAGCCCUGUGGUUGGGGACCUCUGUGUUAGCACACUUCUGAUCACCAUUUGGAGAUAUCGAUGCCUCUUGGUCAUUAU